AAGCUUCCAUCCUAUUCUUUGUCUGUCCUCCAGUUGUCCCUCUAUACCGAAUCUACGAGCCAAAUCUAGUUUAAGUUCCUCAUAGCCUGAGUACCGUGCAAUAUCAAUUGAUCUUCCUACUGCACCACGCUUGUACACCUUGGUAUAUGUCCGCAAACGAGGCAGUUGAGGUGGUGGCUCCCAGGCGCCUCUAUCCAUGAAGCUACCAUCAUUGAUAGUAGAAUCAAUUGAAUUAAAGGUGACAUAAUCGGAAGCCAUUGAGGCCAAGAGUUCAGG
This 276-nucleotide unclassified non-coding RNA is filed under the name Hevea brasiliensis (rubber tree). Lineage: Eukaryota; Viridiplantae; Streptophyta; Magnoliopsida; Malpighiales; Euphorbiaceae. The record is from RNAcentral.